RNAcentral lists this ribosomal RNA (459 nucleotides) under Eusudasina nantouensis. Its description in RNAcentral is "partial 16S ribosomal RNA". Lineage: Eukaryota; Metazoa; Arthropoda; Insecta; Hemiptera; Issidae. The record is from RNAcentral.
UGACCUGCUCAGUGAAAUUUUAAAUAGCCGCGGUAUUUUAACUGUGCUAAGGUAGCAUAAUAAUUAGUCUUUUAAUUGUGGUCUGGAAUGAAUGGUUUGACGAGAAAUUAACUUUAUUAAAUUUAUUAUUUUUGAAUUUUAUUUUUUAGUUAAAAAUCUAAAUUGCUAAAGAGGGACGAUAAGACCCUUUAGAUCUUAAUAAUCUUAUAUAUUUUUUUUUUUUUGGUGUUUUUUUUUGAAUAUUUAAGUUUUUUUUGUUGGGGUGAUAACUAAAAUUUUAAACUUUAGUUUAUUUUUACAUUUAUUUAUGGGUUUUUGAUCCUAAUUUUUGGAUUAUAAGAUAAAGAUACCUUAGGGAUAACAGCGUUAUUUAAUUGGAUAGUUCUUAUUGAUAAUUGUGUUUGCGACCUCGAUGUUGGAUUAAAAUUUUACUGUGGGGUAGGUUUUACAGUUUUAGGG